This 798-nucleotide ribosomal RNA is filed under the name uncultured bacterium. Its description in RNAcentral is "bacterial SSU rRNA". It matches the Rfam family "Bacterial small subunit ribosomal RNA", at positions 8 to 796 of the family's 1533-position model. The record is from RNAcentral.
AGAGUUUGAUCCUGGCUCAGAACGAACGCUGGCGACGCGUCUUAAGCAUGCAAGUCGAACGGCAACACGGGGCAACCUGGUGGCGAGUGGCGAACGGGUGAGUAACACGUAGGUGAACUGCCCUUGGGCUGGGGAUAGCCUGUGGAAACACAGGGUAGUACCGAAUGAGGUCAUCGGAUUGUGAUCUGAUGAUGAAAGGGGCUAAGGCCUCGCCUGAGGAUGUGCCUGCGGCUGAUUAGCUAGUUGGUGAGGUAAUGGCCCACCAAGGCGACGAUCAGUAGCCGGCCUGAGAGGGUGGACGGCCACACUGGGACUGAGAUACGGCCCAGACUCCUACGGGAGGCAGCAGCUAAGAAUCUUCCGCAAUGGACGAAAGUCUGACGGAGCGACGUCGCGUGGGUGAUGAAGGCGGAAACGUUGUAAAGCCCUUUUAUCGAUGAGGAAUAAGCCUGGGAGGGAAUGCCCGGGUGAUGACGGUAGUCGGUGAAUAAGCCCCGGCUAAUUACGUGCCAGCAGCCGCGGUAACACGUAUGGGGCGAGCGUUGUUCGGAAUUAUUGGGCGUAAAGGGUAUGCAGGCGGUUUUCCAAGUCUGGUGUGUAAGACCUCAGCUUAACUGGGGGAGCGCGCUGGAAACUGGGAGACUAGAGUACAGGAAGGGGAGUUGGAAUUCCAGGUGUAGGGGUGAAAUCUGUAGAUAUCUGGAAGAACAUCAGUGGCGAAGGCGAACUCCUGGCCAUGUACUGACGCUGAGAUACGAAAGCGUGGGGAGCAAACAGGAUUAGAUACCCUGGUAGUCC